AUUGAACGCUGGCGGCAUGCUUUACACAUGCAAGUCGAACGGUAACAGGCCGCAAGGUGCUGACGAGUGGCGAACGGGUGAGUAAUGCAUCGGAACGUGCCCAGUCGUGGGGGAUAACGCAGCGAAAGCUGUGCUAAUACCGCAUACGAUCUAUGGAUGAAAGCGGGGGACCGUAAGGCCUCGCGCGAUUGGAGCGGCCGAUGUCAGAUUAGGUAGUUGGUGGGGUAAAGGCUCACCAAGCCAACGAUCUGGAGCUGGUCUGAGAGGACGACCAGCCACCGUGGGACUGGGACACGGCCCAGACUCCUACGGGAAGCAGCAGUGGGGAAUUUUGGACAAUGGGCGCAAGCCUGAUCCAGCAAUGCCGCGUGCAGGAAGAAGGCCUUCGGGUUGUAAACUGCUUUUGUACGGAACGAAAAGGUUUGGGUUAAUACCCUGGGCCGAUGACGGUACCGUAAGAAUAAGCACCAGCUAACUACGUGCCAGCCGCCGCCGUAA
Molecule: ribosomal RNA, 498 nt
Filed under: uncultured bacterium
Lineage: Bacteria
Description: partial 16S ribosomal RNA
Rfam family: Bacterial small subunit ribosomal RNA
Source: RNAcentral